RNAcentral lists this transfer RNA (74 nucleotides) under Sus scrofa (pig). It matches the Rfam family "tRNA". From Rfam's summary of the family: Transfer RNA (tRNA) molecules are approximately 80 nucleotides in length. Their secondary structure includes four short double-helical elements and three loops (D, anti-codon, and T loops). Further hydrogen bonds mediate the characteristic L-shaped molecular structure. tRNAs have two regions of fundamental functional importance: the anti-codon, which is responsible for specific mRNA codon recognition, and the 3' end, to which the tRNAs corresponding amino acid is attached (by aminoacyl-tRNA synthetases). tRNAs cope with the degeneracy of the genetic code in two manners: having more than one tRNA (with a specific anti-codon) for a particular amino acid; and 'wobble' base-pairing, i.e. permitting non-standard base-pairing at the 3rd anti-codon position. The record is from Rfam by way of RNAcentral. Lineage: Eukaryota; Metazoa; Chordata; Mammalia; Artiodactyla; Suidae.
UUCCCUGUAGGCCUAGUGGUUAAGGUUCCAGCAUUGUCACUGCUGUGGCUCAGGUUCAAUCCCUGGCUGAGAAC